AUAGCAGAAUUGGAAGGGAUCUUGGAGGUCUUCUAAUCCAGUAGUCGCCAACUAGUGGGCCGGGCACCACUGGUGGUCCGUGAGAAAAUGUUGGUGGUCCACAGAGAAAUGUCACCCCAAAGCACCCCCCAAAGCAAUUAAUCCAUGCUGCACAGGAACACAAGGCUGUGCC
This is a non-coding RNA of Pseudonaja textilis, 172 nucleotides long. Lineage: Eukaryota; Metazoa; Chordata; Lepidosauria; Squamata; Elapidae. The record is from RefSeq and is a predicted model, not a curated record.